Molecule: ribosomal RNA, 206 nt
Filed under: uncultured bacterium
Lineage: Bacteria
Description: partial 16S ribosomal RNA
Rfam family: Bacterial small subunit ribosomal RNA
Source: RNAcentral
AGCGUAGGCGGGUGUUUAAGUUAAGUGUGAAGCCUGGGGCUUAACUCCAGAAAUGCACUUAAUACUGGACACCUAGAGUGUGGGAGAGGUAAGUGGAAUUCCUAGUGUAGCGGUAGAAUGCGUAGAGAUUAGGAGGAACACCAGAGGCGAAGGCGGCUUACUGGACCACAACUGACGCUGAGGCUCGAAAGUGUGGGGAGCAAACA